RNAcentral lists this ribosomal RNA (392 nucleotides) under uncultured bacterium. RNAcentral's name for it is "bacterial SSU rRNA". It matches the Rfam family "Bacterial small subunit ribosomal RNA", at positions 28 to 424 of the family's 1533-position model. The record is from RNAcentral.
GACGAACGCUGGCGGCGUGCUUAACACAUGCAAGUCGAGCGGUAAGGCCCUUUCGGGGGCACACGAGCGGCGAACGGGUGAGUAACACGUGGGUGACCUGCCCUCAGCUCUGGGAUAAGCCUGGGAAACCGGGUCUAAUACCGGAUAUGACUCCAUGACGCAUGUUGUGGGGUGGAAAGCCUUGUGCGGCUGAGGAUGGGCCCGCGGCCUAUCAGCUUGUUGGUGGGGUGANGGCCUACCAAGGCGACGACGGGUAGCCGGCCUGAGAGGGCGACCGGCCACACUGGGACUGAGACACGGCCCAGACUCCUACGGGAGGCAGCAGUGGGGAAUCUUGCGCAAUGGGCGAAAGCCUGACGCAGCGACGCCGCGUGAGGGAUGACGGCCUGGUU